This 528-nucleotide ribosomal RNA is filed under the name uncultured bacterium. RNAcentral's name for it is "bacterial SSU rRNA". It matches the Rfam family "Bacterial small subunit ribosomal RNA", at positions 777 to 1301 of the family's 1533-position model. The record is from RNAcentral.
AAUAGAUACCCCGGUAGUCCACGCCGUAAACGAUGAGUGCUAAGUGUUAGAGGGGUUUCCGCCCUUUAGUGCUGCAGCUAACGCAUUAAGCACUCCGCCUGGGGAGUACGGUCGCAAGACUGAAACUCAAAGGAAUUGACGGGGGCCCGCACAAGCGGUGGAGCAUGUGGUUUAAUUCGAAGCAACGCGAAGAACCUUACCAGGUCUUGACAUCCUCUGACAACUCUAGAGAUAGAGCGUUCCCCUUCGGGGGACAGAGUGACAGGUGGUGCAUGGUUGUCGUCAGCUCGUGUCGUGAGAUGUUGGGUUAAGUCCCGCAACGAGCGCAACCCUUGAUCUUAGUUGCCAGCAUUCAGUUGGGCACUCUAAGGUGACUGCCGGUGACAAACCGGAGGAAGGUGGGGAUGACGUCAAAUCAUCAUGCCCCUUAUGACCUGGGCUACACACGUGCUACAAUGGAUGGUACAAAGGGCUGCAAGACCGCGAGGUCAAGCCAAUCCCAAUAAAACCAUUCUCAGUUCGGAUUGU